This 273-nucleotide ribosomal RNA is filed under the name uncultured bacterium. RNAcentral's name for it is "partial 16S ribosomal RNA". It matches the Rfam family "Bacterial small subunit ribosomal RNA", at positions 524 to 796 of the family's 1533-position model. The record is from RNAcentral.
UACGUAGGCAGCGAGCGUUGUUCGGAGUUACUGGGCGUAAAGCGUGCGUAGGCGGUGGCCCAAGUCUGGUGUGAAAUCUCCCGGCUUAACCGGGAGGGUGCGCCGGAAACUGGGUCGCUGGAGUACUGGAGAGGCAGGCGGAAUUCCUGGUGUAGCGGUGAAAUGCGUAGAUAUCAGGAGGAACACCCGCGGUGUAGACGGCCUGCUGGACAGUCACUGACGCUGAGGCACGAAAGCGUGGGGAGCAAACAGGAUUAGAAACCCCCGUAGUCC